GACGAACGCUGGCGGCGUGCCUAAUACAUGCAAGUUGAGCGCUGAAGGUUGGUACUUGUACCAACUGGAUGAGCAGCGAACGGGUGAGUAACGCGUGGGGAAUCUGCCUUUGAGCGGGGGACAACAUUUGGAAACGAAUGCUAAUACCGCAUAAAAACUUUAAACACAAGUUUUAAGUUUGAAAGAUGCAAUUGCAUCACUCAAAGAUGAUCCCGCGUUGUAUUAGCUAGUUGGUGAGGUAAAGGCUCACCAAGGCGAUGAUACAUAGCCGACCUGAGAGGGUGAUCGGCCACAUUGGGACUGAGACACGGCCCAAACUCCUACGGGAGGCAGCAGUAGGGAAUCUUCGGCAAUGGACGAAAGUCUGACCGAGCAACGCCGCGUGAGUGAAGAAGGCUGUCGGAUCGUAAAACUCUGUUGGUAGAGAAGAACGUUGGUGAGAGUGGAAAGCUCAUCAAGUGACGGUAACUACCCAGAAAGGGACGGCUAACUACGUG
RNAcentral lists this ribosomal RNA (497 nucleotides) under uncultured bacterium. RNAcentral describes it as "partial 16S ribosomal RNA". It matches the Rfam family "Bacterial small subunit ribosomal RNA", at positions 28 to 507 of the family's 1533-position model. The record is from RNAcentral.